UACGUAGGGGGCGAGCGUUGUCCGGAUUCAUUGGGCGUAAAGCGCGCGCAGGCGGCGCGGCGAGCCCGGCGUGAAAGCCCCCGGCUCAACCGGGGGAGGCCGUCGGGGACCACCGCGCUGGAGGCCGGCAGGGGCGAGCGGAAUUCCCGGUGUAGUGGUGGAAUGCGUAGAGAUCGGGAGGAACACCGGUGGCGAAGGCGGCUCGCUGGGCCGGUCCUGACGCUCAGGCGCGAAAGCGUGGGGAGCGAUCCGGAUUAGAUAC
Molecule: ribosomal RNA, 262 nt
Filed under: uncultured bacterium
Lineage: Bacteria
Description: partial 16S ribosomal RNA
Rfam family: Bacterial small subunit ribosomal RNA
Source: RNAcentral